Molecule: ribosomal RNA, 301 nt
Filed under: uncultured bacterium
Lineage: Bacteria
Description: partial 16S ribosomal RNA
Rfam family: Bacterial small subunit ribosomal RNA
Source: RNAcentral
CAGUCGCCGCGGUAAUACAGAGGGUGCGAGCGUUAAUCGGAUUUACUGGGCGUAAAGCGUGCGUAGGCGGCUUCUUAAGUCGGAUGUGAAAUCCCUGAGCUUAACUUAGGAAUUGCAUUCGAUACUGGGAAGCUAGAGUAUGGGAGAGGAUGGUAGAAUUCCAGGUGUAGCGGUGAAAUGCGUAGAGAUCUGGAGGAAUACCGAUGGCGAAGGCAGCCAUCUGGCCUAAUACUGACGCUGAGGUACGAAAGCAUGGGGAGCAAACAGGAUUAGAUACCCCAGUAGUCCAUGUCUCUUAUAC